GGUAGGAUCAUGUUUUAUUACACACUCAAAUGAAGCCUGGGCAGAUCUCUGAAUCACUUUGUACUGUGGCUGUUUAAUUAUCAUCGUUGGGUCUUUAACUUCCAGUUGUACUUCAUUUUGCGUCUUCCCUAAUUUAUUCCUUGCAACACAUGUGUAUGUGCCAGUACUAUCCUUCUGAGCCACUGGAAUUUCCAAGGUUCCGUUAUCAUGGAAAACAUAUUCAUUUCCUCGCAAGAUGCUACCUUUCACUCCCC
Molecule: long non-coding RNA, 254 nt
Filed under: Gallus gallus (chicken)
Lineage: Eukaryota; Metazoa; Chordata; Aves; Galliformes; Phasianidae
Source: RNAcentral